UUUUAAAUGCUUUGGAGCGUGUAGGUUAGUGACUAGCCAGAGAUUUCUAGGAGUAAGUCCUGCGUUACUCAGAACCAGUUAUUCUCAGGGAGAUCUCUCUAUAGGCUCCUCCCUGCUCCUUCGUGCCAAUGAAGGAUGAAUCAUUGC
Perognathus longimembris pacificus (Pacific pocket mouse) is the source of this 147-nucleotide long non-coding RNA. RefSeq lists it as uncharacterized. The record is from RefSeq and is a predicted model, not a curated record. The transcript is spliced from 3 exons. Lineage: Eukaryota; Metazoa; Chordata; Mammalia; Rodentia; Heteromyidae.